This 33744-nucleotide long non-coding RNA is filed under the name Vitis vinifera (wine grape). RNAcentral describes it as "long non-coding RNA (VVIN_LNC000757)". Lineage: Eukaryota; Viridiplantae; Streptophyta; Magnoliopsida; Vitales; Vitaceae. The record is from RNAcentral.
GACGCACUGAGUUGCUCCAAACAACCUGAGUAUAGUGUCGGCAUUCCCCACCCACGCAUGAGUUGGAGUUGUAGUCAUAAUAAGGCUUCUCGGCCACCCACAUGUUCACUGCAUCGGUGCCUGUCAAUGAAGGGCUGCCCCAGGCAAGGUUCUCACCGUAAGGCCCACCUGAAUGCACUAGAUUGCAGUCGCCAAUCCUCUGGUUAGCAUAGUUCUGGGCGUAGGUAGCCACAGUGUCGUCCCAUGUCAUAGACCCAACACCAACUUGUGCCCGCGCUGUAUUGUGAGCAUUGACGUAGUCCUGUGGAGAGUUCUGGGCAUAGCAGGUGUGAGCUAGAGCUAACCCCAUGAGACCAACAAGGAGUGGCAAUGAAAUCUUACACAACCCCAUCUUUUUUAGUUUCUAUGAUGAGAAGUGAGGUUAUUGAUGAGAAAUGAGGCUUGGUUUGAAGGGUAUUUAUAGGGGAGAUAUAUAGAAGCAUCAUAAUCUCUAAGUCAUGCCCUCCCAAACUUACCCCUUGCAAUUGGACACUGUCGUUGUGGUCGCCUUCACACUUAAAAGAUCAACAACUGAAAAAAUAGUUAAUUAGCACUAAGAUCGAAAUGACUUCCAUUCAUGUUCAAUUUUUUCCUAAGGAAUAAUCAACAAUAUUGAAAAUUCUUCUAUGUUUUGGAAAUCUUCUAGGGUUAAACCUGGCGGCCAGACCAGUUUGAUCAAGACUAGCGAACUUUCUUCUAAAAGGACAUGUACAAAGAAUUAAAAGGGAAAAUAGUGCUGAUGUGAAAUCAAAACUAAUACCACUGAUGUUUAACUCCAAAGUAGAUAGAUUUCAGUGAAUUUCAUUAAUAUGCAUAUGGGAUCUGAUCAAAUUUUUUAGGAGGAUAUUUAUCUCAAUUACAACCCAAAAAAAAAAUGAUUUUUUUUUUUUUUUUGGAGAUAAUAUUGGGGUGAUUCUUUCAUUCAAUCAGUUUUUAGUGGAGAUUUUUGGAAAUUUUUUUGUUAAAUGGAGGCCUAGAAGUCAGAAGAGAGAUUUGCCUUUAAUGAUGGCCCAAUUUAUCAAAUCAAAUUUGAAUUGAAGGGAAAGAAAAGAAGGAACUAAUACCAUGUUUGGAAGGUAUUUUCUAAAAGAAUUUUGAAAAAUAAUUUUUUAAUAUUUUGUAAAGCAAAAGUUCAUUUAAAAAUCUACCAUUUUUUAACUUAUUUUUUAUAUUUUAGAAAUAAUUUUUACAUUUAGUGUUUUAUUUUUAAUCAUUUUUUAUAUUUAUAUAUUUAAUUUUUAAAACUGUAUUAUUUUUUUAUUUUUAAAAAUAGAAAAAUGUUUCCUAUUUUUUAUUCCCAUAUGAAUUUAUUAUUUUUGAAAACCCUUACCAAACAUGCAUUGUGAGGAGUACUUCAUGGAGAGUUGAUCUAAAUUCAAAGAAAAAUGUAGGGCUCCUCCCAGAACAAUCAUUUUAACUAGGUCGUCAAGUAGCAUCUGCAUCAACCCCCCAUAUUAAUAAAAAGGCAGUGAAUGCAUGCAUUCAAAUUGUUCAUGUCUUUAGAUGCUGAAAUUCUUGACACUGAUCAGCCAAUAUUUUUCUUAUAUUAAAAAACAAGAAAAAAACAGCCCUUUUAAAACCUUUGAUCACGGACGAAUUUACACGUGGUUCUUCAGAUUCUGCAAAUACAUGAUACAAAUUAUCCUAACCGGUUUGAAUGCUUGACUAAAACAAGGUGUUUGGUCUUUUAAUGUUAGAUUUCGAGAUUCCGUGGAAAGUUGGUUACGACUUAAGAGACACUUGUGGGUAGGCCAUGAAAGUUGAAUAAUUUAUCGUGUAACACAUUAUUUGAGCAAGCAAGUAAUGUGUUACACAUUAUGUGAUUUAAUUUUUAUGAGUUUGAAAUGGUGAUACAAUAUGAUUUUAUUCCUUAUUCUUAUUCUUGGCUAUUAUCGUGACAUCACGAUUGGCGGACUAAUGGUAGCAAAGGAAGACAAAAGUUACAAGGACUUUUAGCUCCUAAUUUAACAAAAAUUAUUGAGGAUGUAGAGUUAUUCUUGAAAGACUAGAAACAUUUUUUAACAUUUAGAAAUUUUUUCUUUAUAGAAAUUAAGUAUUUGAUAAGCAUUAAAAAUUUAAGAAAUUUGGAAUUAUCACUUGAUAUGAUAUUUAUUCCAAAAAUUAUUAUUAUUUUUUGUUAUGUAUUCCAUUCCAUUACUAGAAAUGUUUUCAAAUUUAUCUUUUAAAUUAGAUUCAAACAUUAACUAAAUCUCGAUUAAGUUUUUAUGAUAGAAGUAUUAUCAACAAAAAUUUAAAAGUGCUUUUACAAGAAUUGCCCCCGAGCACAUUGACAAAAUCAUGAUGAUUUUGAGUGAAAAUUUCCAUGGUAUUAGACUUAGUUCUUUUCUAUUGUAAGGUUAUAUAUGUUAUGCUAGAAUAGGAGAAUAUCAUGACUUCUAAUGAAAUAUAACAUCUUUGAAUAUUAUAUUUAUAUCUAAUUAGAUAUUAAAUCAUGCUCAUGUUUGAUUUAUAGAAUGAAUAAAUGAACUGAAAAAUAUACUACAUUUUAAAGUUAAUUAUUUUUUUCUAAAAUAAAAAUAUAUUGCAUUUAAUUGCUUGUUUUUAAACAAAUAUAAAAUCGUUUAUUUGUUUAUUAUUACUAUUUGAAAAUCAUUCUAUAAUUUAUUAUUUGUGUAAUUAUUUUUAUUUAUUUGUUAUAACAUUUAUGAAUAAAAUUAAUAUUUAAAUAUCACAUAAUGUCUACUAUUAGUAUAUUUAAGUUGUAGUAUCCAUAUUUUUUAAUUAUUUUUUCAAAAUAAAAUUUUAAUUUUUCUAAUUUAAUUUAAUUUAAUUUUAUAAAAUACGAUAUAUAAAGAAAUUUUAAAAAUAAAAAAAUGUAUGACAUGAAUAAAUUGACGAAACAUGGAAUCUGUAUAUAUCAUGUCUCAACUUAGAAUUAUUAUAUCUCAUGAUAUAAAUAUGAGGUUGGAUGAGUUAUCCUAUUGUAUGUAUGAUUAAAUAUGAGAUACAAAGAGCAUUGAGAUAAUUAAUUCUAUUCAUCCCUAAUCAAAUAUGAAAUAAAACAUGUUUUUCUAUUCUUUAUCCAAUUAUAAUAACUAACCAACAUAAUUUAAGUCUAAACGAAAAACUCUGUGGUAUUUAUUUAAUUUGAUUUUGUUUUUAUUUAUACAAUUCUUGAUAGAAAUUAAUAUAAAAAUAUCAUUUAAAAUUCAAAUAAAAGUUAAACUCUUUUUAUUUAGAUAAAAUAUCUAAAAAUAAAAUUUAACUUAAAAAAUAAAUUAUAUUGAAAAGAUUGAAAAUAAAUAAAAAUAAAAAUAGUAGGGCUUUGUAAAACUACUUUUAAAUUUAAAAAUAUUGUAAGCAUUUAACUUCCCAUAAUACCAAAAACCUCAAAAUCCUAAACUUCUUUGUUUUAAAAAUAUUAAGAUGGGAUAUUAGAAGUGUGUUUGGGAUUGUUUCUUCUUAGAUGUGUUUUUAGUGGAAGUGUUUUAUUUCUAAAAAAACAUUACAAAUAAUAUUUUAAUGCUACAAGUGAUUUUUCAAAUUUUAAAAAAAUAUUUCAUAAAUUUUAUCAAAUAACUAAUGUUGUUUUAAAAACACUUUUUAGGUUAAAAAUAUUUUCUAGAAUUAUUAUCAAGCGGAUUUUUUAUUUGGUUAAGAAGUUUAGAAGGAGGAAAACAAAAACUCAAUAUAUAUAUAUAUAUAUUUUCCUAUGUUUAAAUAAUAUGGAAAAAAACGUGUGAAAAAUAUCAAGGAAUCCAAGAACAAAAUAAAUUAUAAUUUUCUUUAUCUUUGUCUUUUCUUUUUCUUUUUUUCCUUCAAACUUUUCACAACCAGCCAUAUGCUCAAAGUUAACGUAUAUAUUAUAACAAUCUAAGUUGUCUAGACGGAUUAAAAGCUUUGCCAAAUUAAUUGGGUCUUGGUAGACUUUAAGAAAAAUACAAAACAAAUUGGUCAAAUGGUUAUGUAGAAGUCUUGAGAGAGCCCAACUUGGGAAUUACGUAUCCAAUUAUAAUGCUUGGAAAAGUCAAUAUGAUGAAUUUCUUGGAUGAAUCUAGAUGAAGUUUGGCCUACAUAUAAGGAAAAAUGACAUUAUGGUCACUGGUGGUAGGCGUCAAUCACGGGACAAACAUAAGCUUGUGAUGGAAAAUUCACUUGACCGGAGAUUAAUGCUGUAGGAAUAAUAUCAUUGGACUAAGGAUUUUGCUAAAGAAUUUUCAGAGCUCACAUGGUGUGGAGUAGUUUUCUAAUUUGUGACUCCGCUUGAUUGGACAGCUUAGAAAAAUUGUUUAGUUUUAGUUUCUAAUCUCUUCGAUCUAUUGUGCCAGCUUGGGAGUAGCUUAUAAGUUAUAACUUUGAAAAUUUGAUGUUAAACAGUAGUCAAUUUUGUCUUUUUUUUUUCCAUAUGUCAAAAAUAAAAAAGUAUUUCACUGUUCAAUAAAAAGUGUGUAGGAGUAAUUUUAGUAAAACUAGAUGAGAUUUUUAAGGUUUAAAAAUGUUUGUAUUGCAAUAAUUAAGAGUGUGUUUGGUACUUAUUCUAUAAAACGUUUCUAGUUUUUAUAAUACUUGGAUGAUAACAUUUUUCAAGUGUUAAAAAUAUUAGAAAUGCUUUCUAAAAUUAUUGCCAAAUGAGCUCUAAAGAUUUGACAAUUCCUUGAAAUGAUUUUUGAAUGGAUGCUUGAGAAAUAUUUUUAUAAGGGGUAAAUAAUAGAUAAAGAUUAUUGGAUUGUAAAAUUUGAAUCAAUUUUGUUAUGCUUUUUAUAGGAUCCUCACUAAGUUUGUAGAGAUUGAACCACCCUGUCAGCUCACUGAGGUUGAAAGAGACAACAUCUCCUAGAAAUUUUUUUUUUAUGUGAUGAAUGAUGAAUUUAUCUUUAUUGUAUAUUUAACCUUAUUAUGAUUUAGAGAUUUUUUAGACAAUGUGAUUACAAUUGAAAGGUGUGUGGAAGUUUUAUCGUUGUAACUUUUCUUUUUUAUUUAAUUAGUGGAUUUUUUUAGUGUUGAUACAUUUUAUGAACGUAGGAUCACAUUGAUCGUUAAACCACAUUAAAACUCUAGUGUUUUUCAUUUAUUUUUCUACUUAUUUGUGUGGUUUGAUUUAUAAAUAAUAACUCAAUAAAAUAGGAAUAGUUAACACAUAUGACCCCACCGAAAAAAUUUCUUUCACUUCAAUAAAAAAGAGUGAAGAGAUUUAAUAAUGAAACUUUCCCAAAAAGAUUGAUGAAGGAACUCUCACAUUCACAACCCUAGAAUAAUCCUAGAAAAACAACCCUUAUUGUUUUCUCCAUUUUUUUUCCAUAUCAUAUGACACUUCUCAGUUUUUUGGGCAUCCACAAAAGAAACCCUACUUGCACCUUAUAUUUUAGCUUAAAAAAAAGAGUCUAAAUAUGGGCUUGAAAAACUUUUCAUGACAGAAUAAACCUAACCUAUCAAUUUCUUCCAAAAUAAUUACUUUUUAUUACGGAACACAUUAUCAAAACACUCUAGUUAGAGUUUUUGUAAUGUAGGCACCCUUUCUACUAUGAUUAAGGUUUAAAUUAUGAGGUGUUAGAUUAGUUUCAUCAGGAGUAUAUAGUAAUUCAUUAUUGUUGAUGGUUUCGAUUUUACUUGGAAGUUACUCCAUUGUAAUAGUUCAUAUAGAAAUGAGACUUUUUUCUUACCCAUAAAGGAUUGUGCUCGGAUCAAUUAAGACCCUUUUACAAAUGUCAACCAUUAUUUCUAUUUGGAGCGCAAUUGGUUGAGUUGUGUUGGGUUUUCUAUUAAUGGGUAUACAUUCAAAUAAAACUAAUUCUCGAGUUUUAGAAUGCGUUGAUUUUAAAUAUAGUUUUUAGCAUUUUUAAAACUUGAAAGAUAAAAUUCAUAAAAAAAAUUAAAAACUAAAAAUAUUUCUUAAACUUACUACCAAACAGACCCUUAAAAUGCUUUAUUUAAGCUUCAUACUACCUUAUUUUUUGUAAAGAUCAAAUUUGAAUUAAGUGACAUUAGAUUGAAUUCAAACCAUUUAUAAUGGUUUCUCUUACUUCAAUUUUUAUAGAUUUGUAAGAGGAUCUAAAUAAUAAAUGUGAUGAUAUUUUUAAAAUAUUAAUAGUAUCUUUUGGACAAAAUGAAAUAGUACAUAGUAUAACAAUUAUAAUAUGAAGCCAUUUUUCUUAAAAUUGUUUUAGAAAUAUAUAAAUUAAAUUAAUUAAAUUGGGUUUGAAUUAAAUUUCCUAAAAAUCAUCAAAACUUUAGCUUGAGGCCAAUUUAAACUUAAUUUAUAUUAUAAAUUACAUAAUAAUAUGAAUUAUAAAUAUUAAUUUAGGUUUGGAUUAAGUUUUUGGACAAUUACCAAAACAAGGUAAGGUGAACUCCAACUUAAUUCAUGUUAAAAAAAAAAACUCAAUCAAUUAACUAGAAAACAAAACAAUGAAUGCAUAGCGAAAGAACUGAACUCAACCGCUCCUAACUAGGGUCAAGGCUUGGUUUAAUAGGUGUGAAGAAAAAUAAAACAUUUUUAUCCUUUACUAAUUAUAUAAACAUAUAUUAUGUAUAAAAUAUGGAUGAAUUUAAAACUCAAAAAAGUCAUUUUCAUGCAUUAAAGUAUUAACUUUUGCGCAUGUUUUAAAUAUUACCCUCCAACCAACUAAACCCUCCAUAUGUAUGGAAGGAAAUUAGCUUCCCUCCAAAUAUCACUCGAAAAUCCCAACAAAUCCGAAAUUAUUAAAAAAAAAUUCAACAAAUCGUGAAAAUUGAUUGAAAGGGCAUCGUGGAUAUUUCUCCAUGUGUUGUGUUUGCUACCUUUGACAAACCAAAUUUCAUCAAAAUUUUUGGAUAUUUUCAUCAUUGCUUAAAACAAAACUCUUGUGGCUGAGCCCAAACAAGAAAAAAAGUAUUUAUAUUAAUACUUAAUUUACAAAUCUACCGAGAUCUUAGGUUGGUAUUCACUGUGAUUAUGGACAUUAAAUUUUUUCCUUAUAUGUAUCAAAAGAAAUUUUAGAAAAAAAAAAAAUUCAUAUUUCAAUUGUUACUUUGCACGUAUAAGUUUCAAUAGAAAUACGAAGACGUGGUACAUUUUCUCCUCCGGUGGACAAAAGAUAUGAAGUACAAAAUUGUGGUUGCUUGGGUGGGGCUUGUUACACAACUCAAACAAAAUGAUCUACCGUAUAAAAGCAUAAACAUUUCACUUUAUUUCAUUAUAAUCUUCUAAUACAGAAGUGAUUUUAUUAGGGACCACUCCAACAAGUCUUUAAUCAAAGUUCAUGUAGAACCUUUCUUAAUAUAAGGACGUUCUCCAAAAUAGUUGCCUGGUGGGUCUUAGUUGCAGCAAACAAUCCACCAUUCCCCAUUCUUGCACAACAAUCUUGCACACCCCACAUUCACUGAAGUGUUCUACACAACCUGAGUGUAGUGUCCACACUCUCCUCCAACGCAUGAGUUAGAGUCGUAGUUAUAAUAAGGCUUCUCAGACACCCACAUCUUCACUGCAUCAGCGCCAUCAAAGUCAGUAGCACCCCCUGCAGCCAGGUUCUCACCAUAAGGCCCUCCUGAGUGUUCAAGAUUGCAGUCACCAAUCAGCUUCUCACUAACAUAUUGCGAUGCGUAGUUAGCUAACUUUUUGUCCCAUGUCAUGGGCUGGACUCCAACCUCUGCCCGCGCGGCGUUGUGGGCGGUAAGGUAGUCUUGUGGGGUGUUUUGGGCAUGGGAGAGAUGCGCUAGGGCUAAGCCAAGGAGGCAUAGAAGGGCCAGUGAUGUCUUGCCCAUUUUGGCUUGGAUUCUAUGAUGGAGGACAAGAGCCUUUGAUGGUUAAGAGUAUUGACUUGUUGCAGAGAAUUUAAUGGUGCAAGGUGUUCUUUCUUGAUAUAGCUUUUAAUCAUUAUGAUAGAUAAUCCAAAGAAAUCAAUAAAAAGUGCUCAGCAAUUAAUUGUAGUGCAAUUAUAAAAUAUUAACUUAAUAGAAAAAAAAAAAGGUGGGGUGGGGGGGAAUUUACACGAGUAGGAGAUAAGGAUUGAUAUUAAUUCUCUUGAAGAUGACUACAGCAUGUUAAGAAGGGAUGAUAGUCAUCUUCACAUCUAUUUUAUUCCUUAGGCACGAUUUUUUUUUUUAAUACUGUGGUUGAUGAAUUUUGAGGAGCUCUUCAAUUUGUGAAGUUCUCAUACCCGAAUUAAUGCAUAAAUAUUUUGUUUUGAUUGUUGAUGUAAGAAAACUGGCAACAUCAACCACAAAAUAAAUUUUCAGCUGUAAUUAAUAGUUACAUUAUGUUUGUUUCCUACGGGAAGAAAAAAAUGUUUGUUAUUUUUGUAACCCUGAAAUAACUAAAAAAAAAAUACAAAUAAUAAUAAUUUUCUCAUGAUUUGUUUGUACAAAAUAAAAAAAAUAAAAAAUAAAAAAUGGUUAAACUUAUUUGUUUUUAAAUUAUUUAAUUUUUAUAUAAGAUAAGAAAAAUAGGUGAAACGAGUUUGAAGAAAUGUAUAAAAUUAAUUUAUUAACUUUAAUUUUUUUUUCUUAUUUUUUUCUUCCCAUUUUCACCUUAUUUUAUUUUUAUAUUUUUCUUAUUACAAACCAAACAAAACCUUAAGCUAGUUGAGAUGAUGGAAACUUUUAAGAAUUUACUGUGGGGUAUAUUUUUGGAAAGUAAAGCUGAAAGUCAAAUAUAAUUAAAACUACUAGAAAAAAAUUAUAAAGAUGCAAAUGACCCUCUACAUAAUAAUAAUAAUAAUAAUAAACCAAACAAAACCUUAAGCUAGUUGAGAUGAUGGAAACUUUUAAGAAUUGACUGUAGGGUAUAUUUUUGGAAAGUAAAGGUAAAAGUCAAAUAUAAUUAAAACUAUAUAAUGAAAAAGGUAAAAAAAAAUUAUAAAAUUUUUUCUUGGUUGUUUAUGGGAAUUUGAAAGAGAAGAAAAUUAAAAUGUAAGGAAUAUCCAUGAUAAGAUAAUAGGUUUAUAGUCAUUGCCAAACCACAUUUAUUCUGCAAUUAAAAGGAUUAGUAGUUGAGGUUGGUAAGGGUUUAUAGUCGUGGAUUUUUUUCUGAUAUUUUGGGUGGUUAAUGCAGGUUAAUAGGCGGUCAACGUGGGGUCGGGGCAGUCAAUAUGAUGCUAUAGUGACCGCUAUAGUGAAAGCUCAAAAAUGCCUUUUAAUUGAUGGUGUUUAUUUUUUUGGCUUUUUGCUGAAAGCAAUUUACUUUCAGAAUUUAGGUUUUUUUAAAAAAAAAUUUUAAUGACUUAUUACUGUUUUUUUAAAUUUUUGGCUAAAUGUAAAAAACUAAAAUAUUUGGCUUUUUUUAAAUAGAAAAAUGCAGUUUUUGAAACCUCCCCACAUACGAUUUUCAACCCAACGCCUGACCCUAGCCCACCCAUCCCUUGUAGCUUUCUGCAAUUGGCAUCCUCAACCCUCACCUCAUCCCCAAAGCGGUAAUUUCUUCAUUCUCAUCCUCCAUCCGAGACUACAUAGUUGGAAAGACGCUCCACUUUCAUUCGACAUUGUUGAUCUAAUCGAAGGUAACCCUCAACCCAAAUUUAUUUUGGGUUUUAGGAUUUUAAUAGAGUAACCGAGUCUCAUUUCUCAGUACUUCUCUCUCUAAAACUCUCAUUCUCUAUUUUGGUUCACAAAUGCAAGUGCUCUGUUUAGGGUUUUUGAGUUCACAUGUUGCGGGUCCUAAGAUAAUUUUAGGAUUUCUAGGCUCUAUUAAAAGAGCUAUGUGGGUGUUUUUUUUUGUUUGAGUUCAUUUUUAAGAAAAAAUUUCUAGGCUACUGAUUUUGUUUGAGAUUACAAAGAAUGUGGGUAUCGGGUAUUUGGGUUUUUUGUCUCAAUGAGACCAAAUCAGGAGUAUUCAAUGGGUGGUUGGGAGUUUAAUUUCUAUCUUUUGCAACCCUUCCCCUUUUGCAGGAAUCAACUAAAGCAUAAAAUAAUUCAUGACUUCUUGUCUGUUUAUUGAAAUAUAAGAGAUUAGGUAGAUGGAAUUCUAGGGUGGUUUUGAAACAUUACCAUGCUUUGAGUCUGCUUUGCGUGUGUCAAUGUUAUCUAACUUGGUCCUUGCCCUUCAAACGUUUGAAGGUUAAAUUUUAUCUUGGACCUUUUCUUUUCCUCCUUAAACAAUACAAACUUUGAUGUGCUUCUUGGUCCAAAUAAGAAUAUUGUGUUGGUUGAAUUUGUGUAACAUCUUUCUCUGUUCCUUUGAUGACUAUAAAAUUUCUGGAUUUUGGUUGAAUCAGUAGCUAUGCGGCUAUGCCAUGUUACAUAACCUAUUUUAUUUGGCUUGAGUUUGGACACAUGAAUUGCCCUGUUUCGGUGAUUCUAAAGAAGAAAGUUAGGGAAUUGUCUCUGCGGAGAUUGUAGUUUUAUGCCAUGGAUUUUGAUGCACAAAGGGUUGUUAUUUUGAUUGUUGAAGUUCUAUUUUGUGUUUCAUUUAGUACUUUGGAGUCCCUGGAGUACUGUUUGAAAGCUAUCUUCUGCAAUUAUCCGAUCAUUUAGUGCUUUGGAAGGGAAAGUAAUUCAUGUUCCCACAUGAGAACAAUGAAUUCUAGCUGCAUGAGAGGCCAUUUGCAUCAUGGCUGGAGUACUUCACUCCUAAGAUAGUUUUCUAGGGUGCCUUUUAAUGUUCUUUUGUGUUUUUCAUUGAUUUCAAUACAAUGGAUUCUGCUGGAAGAAAAUUUGUUUUAUCGGAUUCCAGUGGGCAUAGUUUAAUGACCAACAAUUCUGUAAUGACUGUACAUUUACACAAUGAGACUAGAGUAGUUUAGUAGCAAUUCAAUGCAUCUUGUGAGAAGUUUAGUAGCAAUUUAGUGUAGUUUGUAAUUAUUGAUUCGGAACUAAGAAGCAAUAACCCUUUUCAUAGGUUCCCUUAAGAUUUAACAACUAGACUAGAGUAGUUUGUAAUUAUUGAUUCAGAACUAAGAAGCAAGAACCCCAAACAGAGGUGGAAGUUCCAAACAUAAAAUUCUAUAUAAUUCAUCAACCAUAGCAUCUGAUGGGGUCAGUGCAACCCUUUUCAGCAAACUGGCAUAAGCCUUUACCUCCACCAUUUUCCAAAUAUUGCUGAUGGUACUCCUCUGUUCUGUAAAACCUCUUUGCUGGAAGAAUUUCAGUUACAAUGUUCUUAUCAUUCAAAGGUCCCUUAGUCCUAUGAAAAUAUUCUUAGUUAUAAAGCCAUACCCUACUAAAAACCUGAAAUCUCAGGAACACUUUCGCCAGCAUGAAUUAAGUCUGAAGCAUUUUGAUCCAAAGGGAAGUGUUCUGAUGUUAUUUGGGAAGCAACUUUCAACAGAAAAUCAAUCAAAAUGCAUAUUUACUAUAGCAACUCUUUAAACAGAGUCAUCAAGCACUAGACAUGAUUGCAAGAGUCUUUAACUCAAGAAAGCAUGAUCCUAAAACUCAAAAUCCAUUGGAACCCAAUAUGUUGGCAAAACUGCAAUCAACAGAGAUAUCUCGCUCAUCAAUCUUAAAUUCUCAACACAUUUUCCAACAACCAAACAGUUAAAACCAAACCCUUUUCUUUAAUCAAGAAAAUAAAAACACCCUUUUUUUUAUAAGUAAUUUCAUCGUUUUUUUACAUUUCACCUUUUUUAUUCUCUAUUUAUUGUUGGGUCUUGCACUCAUCCUUUAUUGUCAAAUGUGGUUUUGUUCCUCGGCAGCGUGAUUGAGCUGCGUGGUUGGCACAUCCGAAGGAUUCUUUAGUUGACACAGUUGCUAAGAAUCUUUUGGAUCGAUUGGAGGUACUAGUUUACUUUGGAAUUCAAGUUUUUUAGUGCCCAUCUACACUAAAUUGCUACUAAACUUCUCACAAGAUGCAUUGAAUUGCUUAGUAUCAUUUUUUUUUCCUGUAUCAAAAGGAAAAAAGACAUAAAAGAAGCUGCAUAGGUAUUAUGGAAACUGCAUAUUGCUAACAUUUUCAGUUUUUUUUUUUUUUUUUUUUUAAGGAAAAGUAUAUCUUGAGAAUGGAACCAGUGGCUUUGAGCACUACUUUGAUGAUAUAUUUUAAGCAAAUGGAGAUUAAUGUUUUCUAGAACUUUUUUUUUUAUAGGCAAUGCUUUUCAGAACACAAAUUAUAUUAUUGUCCAAUUUGAUGAACGGUUGUCUUCCACUGUUAUACUUUGAGAUAUCACUUCCUAGGAAACACUUCAUCCAUCUCUUGCUCUUUUUGAUGUACAGAAAUGCACGUGCACAUGUAUGUGAGCAUUCAUGUAGACAUGUGUUGGCAUAAAAAGUAGUGAAUAGGCUGGGUGUAAAUGAAUAUGCUAAAAUAAGAAAUAAGAGCCAAUGAGAUAUAAUCAAUGAAAUGUAAAUAGAGUUUAGCCUCAAAUUCACAUAAGAAGGUUACACUAAGUAUAAAGCAAGCCAUACUCAAACUUUAUAUUCAUGAAGAUUUUUAUUUUAUUUUAUUUUAUUGUCUCUAAUUGAAAAUUGAAAAUUAAUCAUUAAUGUUGGUUGGUUUUUUGUAGAGUAAUGAGUCAAAAUGUUGAGAUUAGUAGGGCAAAUUGAACUGACCCCAUCGAAAGAAAACACUUUAUUGAUCUUUGUCUUCAAGAGGCAAACAAAGGCUUUAGAUCAGGUGGAGGUUUAAAGUCUAGUGUUUGGCCUCGAAUUGUUGAAGAGUUGGAGAAGUUACUUGGAAAACGUUAUACUUUAAAACAACUUAAAAAUGGGUGGGAUUACAUGAAAAGACAAUAUCUCAUUUGGAGUAAAAUGAUGACUAUGACAGGACAUGGUUACAACUCUAUAACCAAAACUUUUGAUUGGCCAGCUAAAAAAUGGGAAAAAUAUCUACAGGUAGUUUUUUUAUGGAUUUGAGUGAAUUUUAAAAAUAAUUGUCUUAUAUAUGUAUACAUGACUAAUUUGUUGUUUAUCUUAUAAAAUAUAGAUAUCCAGAAGCUAAACAAUUCUAUUUUAAACCAUUAGCAAAUGUGGAAGAAUUAGAGGCAUUGUUUGGAGGAGUGUUAGCUACUAGGUCUAAAAAUUGGAGCUCUGGAGGAGUGAUAGCUUCUGGGGCUGAGGAAUCAUCAACACAUUCUACAUCUAUGCCUAGCGAAACUUCAAUUAGUUUAGAAGAAGAUGAGGAUUUGCCAAGAAAUACUAAUGAUGAAGCAGAAGGUUCUAAGAAAAAACAAAAGAAAGGAAAGAAAGAGCAAACUCAAGAAGAAAUGAAUAGAAUAAUGAAUGUGUUGGAGAAUUUUGAAGGACCCUAAGUCAAAGAAUUUUGAAGAGGCUCUUGACUUAUGAGGAUCCAUUAUACUAUGUAGCAAUUAAUUCAUUUUGCAAGAAGAAAGAGUAUAGAGAGGUGUGGAUGGAGAUGGAAAGUGACGAAGAGCGAAUGGGAUGGAUUCAAAGCUUGCGAAAAUAACUUUUUGAAUAUUUGUUUUAGAUUUGUGGAAUGCAUAGGGUAUAUGACUUAUAUGAUGAUUUUAAUUUGGUACAUUUGGUUUGUUUGUUUUGGAUAUUUGAUACAUUUAAACUUUUCCAAUUAUAAAGACUUUCUCUCUACAUUUUAUUGAUAUUUGUUUUGGAUAUUUGUUACUCAUACAUUGUUAUAACUAUUUGAUUAUAUUGUUAUGCUUUUAUUUCAUAACUAUUGUUUUUUUAUAAUAGAUAUUCUUAUGGAGAAUCCUUCACAUCACUCAAAUAGUUCAAGUUCAUCAUCAUCAAGUGAAGAUGAAGAUACAAAGUUAGAAGUGACAAGAAUUUUUUUUAAAAAAAAGAUUGGUUGUGUUGUUGCUCAAAUUAUUAAGUGACUCAUCCAUUAAUAAGGAACGAGUCUCUACUUCAUCAUUUAUAGGUUCACUUUUCAUUCAAGAGCUUUUAAAUGGUUCAUCUAGCACAUGUUAUGAACUAAUGCGGAUGGAAAAACAUGGAUUUAUUUCUUUAUGUCACAUGUUUCGAGAAAAAGGAUGGCUUGUUGACAGUAAACAUUUGAAUGUUGAAGAAAAAAUGGUCAUGUUUCUUAUGACUAUUAGUCAUAAUCUUCGGAAUCGAUUGAUUAAGAAUAGAUUCCAACACUCAAGUCAAACAAUUCACAAAUACUUCCAUGAGGUUUUAGUGGCCAUGGUGAAUUUCUCAAAAGAGAUGAUUACUCUUCCAUUAUUCAAUGAUAGUUCAAAUGGUAUCUCCAAUCGUCGGCUAAGACAAAUUUUUAAGGUAUAUUAUUUUUAUUUCUAAUUAUUCAUAUCAUAUUUGUAUUAUUCUCAUAUAAAAAUAAUUAUUUAUAUUUUAAGGAAUUAUUACCAUGUAGAAUGUUGUUGGUGCAAUUGAUGGAACUCUUAUCCAUGCAUGUAUUCCUACUAAUCAACAAGUACCUUAUCGAGGUCGUGGGAAAGGAGAAUGUUUUCAAAAUGUUAUGGCAGUUUGUGAUUUUGACAUUAUAUUUAGGUUUGUUGUUGUUGGAUGGGAAGGAACAACUCAUGAUUCAAGAGUCUUGACAGAAACUAUCCAUUACCCGCAACAUAAUUUUCCAAUGGCCCCAUCAGGUAAAUAUUUUAUUUUCAUUUUAUUUAAUAUAAUUUGUAUUUAUUCAUUAUAAUAAUAAACUCAAUCCUUUUUUUCUUCAGAAAAAUAUUAUUUAGUAGAUGCAGCAUACACACACACUCGAGGUUUUAUGGCACCAUAUCGUAAUGUGCGCUAAUAAUUGGUUGAGUGAUUUUCGUAGUGGUGGUAAAGCUGUAGGAAAAAAGGAGAUAUUCAACCAAUGCCAUACAAGAUUAAGAAAUGCCAUUGAAUGUGCUUUUGGUAUUGGGCGCAUUUCCCAGUAUUGAAGAGAAUGACACCUUAUUCGUUUACUACUCAAACAAAAAUUGUCAUGACAUGCUUCUCCAUUCACAAUUUUCUUCGACAAAUCUCAGUUGUGGAUAGAUUAUUUUCUAAAUAUGGCAAUGAAGUGGAAUUGGAAAGUGUUUAUGCAAAUCAAAAUCAAAACUCAACUACAAGCAGUUUUUUUGCAGCAUCUAAUCAAGAAUUCAUGCAACAAUUCUGAGACCAAAUCGCAAAUGAACUCUUUCAAGUGUUUAGUUAACUUGUCAUUUUUAGCUUUUUACCAUUGUAAGAAAUGCAAUGUUUAGAUAUUAGCAUAAAAUGUGAUGUCUUCGAAUAUUUGAAAAUAUGUACUUGAAUUGUUAUGUUUUUUCUUUAAUUUGAUUUAGGUUUUGUCAAUUCAUUAUUUUUCAUAUUAUUAAGUUUAAAUAUUUUAUUUUAAUUAUAUAAAAAAUAAAUAUAUUAAUUAUUUUUUGUAAGAAUGAUAAUGAUAUAUUAUUUAUUAUAACAAUUUUAUUAUUUUGAACUAUUUAGAAAUAAGUUAAAUUAUAUUUUUUUAAUACAUUAAAAUAUUAAGAUUUAGUUUUUAGUAUAUAAAAAAACAAACAACUUAAUACUUAAUAGAAAUAAAAUAUUAAAAAAAACAAACAACUUAAUACUUAAUACUAUUAAGUAUUAUUUAGUAUUAAGUUAAAAAUAAGUUCUAUUUAGAAUUAAGCAAAAAAAAAACAAACGCCACCUUAGUCUAAAGCUUAAAGAUAUUGCACCAAACAUAUAUAUAUUCAAAGUCAUCAUAUAAAUAAAAUAUUAAAAGGAUAUAUGAUUAAAUGAAAAAGUUUCAUUUAAUUGAUUACCAAAAAUGUAAAAACUAUUAUAAUAAAUUUCUUCAUAGUGUUUUUAAUAUCAUUAAUAGAUUAAUUAAAUAUUAAAAAAUUGUUCAUAUAUCACAAUUUAUUUUAUAUCAUUUAAUACAAUUGAAUUAAAUGGAUCAUAAUUUUAAUAUUAAAUAUAUUUUAAAAUUAGGUAUAUUAUAAUCAAAUAUCACAAUAUUAUUAUGAAAUAAUAUUUUAUGUAAUUUAAUAAUAAAUGUGCACUUAUAAAAUUCAUAUUUUUUAUUGACACAUACAAUAUUAUUAUCAAAUAUGAUAAAUCAUAUUAUAUAUAUAUAUAUAUAUAUAUAUAUCAAAAUCUUCAACAAAACAAUUUUUAAAUGUUUAUUAUACUUUUAAUUACAUUUUUAUGAAGUUUUCUUACAUUUCCAUGAAUUUUCAUCAAUUUUAGGCCCACCGAUAUUUUUUUUCAAAAUAUCCACCAAUAUAUCUCCGAUAUAUCCGUAAAAUUGAAGUACCAAUAUAUCCGUGAUUAUUGAUAUUUUCAUCCUUAGUGAUGAGUGCUACUAAAAGUUCUUUUAGCCAAUGGUAGAUUUUGACCCCUACUAAAAGUUGAGAUAAAAAUAAGGGAGUUUGAUAAGUUGUUUUGAAAAACAAUUUAAAAGUCAAAGAUAAAAAAAAAUAAAAAAACUUGUUAAAUAAAUUGUUUUUGAGAGUAACUUUUCUAUUUUGAUUUUAUAAAAAUAUUGUAAAUAUAAUUUAUUAAUAUUAAUUAAAUUUAAUUCAAGUCUUUCUAAAAAUGAAAUUAGUUUUUUUAAUUAUAAAUAGAUUUAAAAAGAAAUAAUUUUUAGAAAAACAUGAACAAUAAUAAUAUUAUAAUAAAAUAAAAAUAUUUUUAUUAAAAAAAACUAUUUUCGUAUAUGUUAAAAAAUUAUAGAUAUUAACAUCUUCACGAAAAUAUAAUUGAUUUCUUUUCUAUUAAAAAUGAAUAAUAAUAAUAAUUGUUAAUAAUUAUAAGUUUAUAUAGUAAAUUUAGUUGACACAUGCACUUCCAUUCAUCACUUAUUAUGAAGAAAAGUCAUAAACAACCUAAAAAAACUCCAAAUAUUACAAUUUCUAAAUGAGCCUGAUACAAUUCAAAUUUGAUUGAAGCAUUUAGAACUUGUUUUGAUGUGUUUUGAAGGUUAAAACUCGAUCACCAAUGGCUGAGUUUGAAACUAGAGUGAGUUUAAAAUCAAUUUCAAACUCGUAAGUGUGGGAAAAUGCUUAAUUUUGAAAUAAAAAAAGUUGUGAGUCCAAUGCUUUAAAUGAUGUGCAAACCAUAUCUAAAACGAGGAAGUUACUUGCAUUUGAAGUGAACUAGGUAGAAAAGAAUGUUGAGUUCUUGAUACCUUGAAUUUGAAAUAAUUUUUGGCCAUUUAGAACUCAGAGGAAUGCAAGGAUGCUUUGGCAAAGGCUAAGUUCAAACCCCUUUACCUAUUUCAAACAAAAGACGCGCAUUUUAGACCCGAAAACAUGGUGAAAUGGCUUGGGCAAUAAGUGAGUUAGAAAUUCAUAAUGAAUUUCGAACUCGCUUGAAUUUUGAAUUGAGCUUUUCCUAUACUUAUGAGUUCAAAAUUAACUUUGAACUUGCUCGAAAUACAAACUCAGUCAUUGAUGAUUGAGUUUUGAGCUCCAAAACACGUUAAAACGAGUUUUAAAUGCCUUCAUCCAAGUCAAAAUGCAUGAUACUCAUUUAGAACUCAUAAUAUUUGGAGUCUUUUAAGUUGUUGAUGACUUUUAUUUGUAAUAAGUGGCCAAUGGAAGUGUGCCACAUGUUAGGUUAUUGAAUUUAUUAUAUAAACUCUUUUAGUUUUAAGAAUGGAGGAUGAGAGAGGGAACAUAGAGAGGGAUUGAUCUCUCUUGUUGAAAGUCUUUAAUAAAGUUUGAGGUUUUUUUUUCUUUCUUUUUCCAUCUUUUUAUUUUAUUUCUUAGUAGCCAAACAUGGGUUGUGAGGAGAAAUCCUCCACCAUAUUUGGCUAACUUGAUUGAUCCAGAGAUGCUAGCAUGAAGGUGAAAAAUCCAAAGAAGAGUAGUAAGAAACGAUAAUGUAUGAAAUGGUUUGAUUAUGCUUACAAGUUUUAAUUGGUAGAAAUAAAUCUUCUAUGUUAGUUCCCCUAGAUAAAUUACAAAGCAUUCUUAUCAAGAGACUAGUGAUUCUUGGGAAUACCUUGAUCACUAAUUACUAUAACUUAAUCUUAUUAUUAGCGAAUUUAAUGAUCAAAUCUACAGAGAUAGAUAUAGGCUUUUUGAUUGAAUAAAAUUGAAAAUCAAAAUUAACCAUCAUUUUUUAAUUAGUUUAAGAGAUUUGUGUUUCAAAAAUAAAAAUUUAAUGAGAUUAAUGAAUGGUUUGCAUUACAAUUUAUGCAUCUUUGGUCCUAUCAUUGUGAGUUGUUUUAGGAAAUGAUAUCGUAGAUUAUUACCCGAUACUAGUGAUUCUUUGUAACUCCUGAUCAUUAAUUAUUUUUAUCUAUCCUAUCAUUAUCUGCCUCAAAAUAAAGCUAAAAGGAGUAAUAAGGGUUUAAAAACCUAACCUUGAACUAGUAAUCAAUCUCAUUCACUUGAUGGUUUUAGAAAUCUAUUUCAAAAAGGAAAAAUCUAAGUUUUGGAUGCUAUAUUGAUCUUACAAUUAAAUUUAGCCAUGGAUUCACUUUGAUCCUAAAACUUAGGUUUUGUAAUGCUCUCUCUCUAAGGAUUUGACACUAGAUUGUGAAACUCUCUAGGACAUUCUUUCUUUUGUUUUAUUUUAUUUUAUUUUAUUUCACUAAAUAUUUUAAGAAAUCCUUAUUCAUAUUUUAUCAUUAUUUAUUUAAUUUGAUGUUUCAUUAACUUUAGUAAAUAAUUAACCAUUCUAACCUAAAAACAAUCGAACACAUUAGAGUUGAUCCUAGAAGAUGAUAACAUAAAUACUAUAAAACUGUGGUAACUAUAUCUAGCUUUUCUUGGGCAAAGUUACCACAUAUUUACACUUAAGUAUUUUUUUUACAAUAGAAAUUUUCAGUUAGUUAUCUAGGGAGAAAGCUCCCCCUCAAUAGGUGCAUUGAAUAUUAAGUUAAUUAGACUCAAAACUAACUGGACAAAAAUACUUAAAUUAAAUGAAAUGAUCAUUCCAAAAUUAGUUAAGUAUAGACCAAUGCUAGCUAAGAAGAUCAAGAAUCCCAUGAAUAGCAUGUAUAAUCCAUGAGAAUCAUAUAUAAGCCAUAUAUGCAUAUAUCAAGUAGUAGUGAAUGGAGUACAUGGAAAUGGUAAAAACAAAGCACAUCCGACAUAAUAGCAAAAUAUGAUGUCUAAAAUACAACAUCUAGAGUAACAUCAAACAUGUCCAGAAUGCCUAUAUGAGAAUAUCUCCCCGUUUGGUAACAUAAAGUAUAAAGGAGAAAUCAUUGCAACUCAAAAUCAAGGUUAGGAAUGUGGAGGUAGAAAGACCAAACGAAGAUGGUUCAUCAUCUGAUCGUAUUAAGCCUAAAGAUGAGUAGUAAAAAGUACCUGACACUAAUCUAACUGAAUAGUUAAAGUCGUCUCAUACUGAUCCAUAUGGUCCUUAAUCAAAUAGAAACAAGUACUAUUCAUGAGUAGCUCCUUUACCUAAGUACUGAGCGAACUAAUUUGUGCUGAUAUAUCUACCUAGAGUUACUAAUUAACUAAUGGAGAUGAGUGUGGUGUAGUAAACAUAACAACUGAAGCCGAACACAUCUUAGUGAAGACAAGAUUAGAAUGGAAUGUCUUCUUAGUAAGUAUUGUUGGCUCAUGUUGAAAGGUUUAAAAGGUUGCUUUUGGCUACUCGGUAUGGAAAGGCUCCUCAAUCUACAUCUCCUUAGUCCCAUUGCCCUAUGAGAACUCUUUACCCUUCAUAUCAAGUUCCUUGAUUUCCUCCUCAGCAUAGUCCUUACAAACCUUCUGUCCACCCCUCUUGUGAACCCAGGACCCAUCAAUAAGGUGCUCAAAGUGCAUAUGACCUAUGGAUUUCACAUUGUAAAUAUCAUAUGCUCUAAGAGGUUUAAUGUCAUUCGUAGUCCUUAAAUCCACAUUGAAUGCCUUCAAAAUCUAAGUCAAUAGGCAUCCAUAGUAAAGUAUCUUAGACUUAAUCUCACAACACUUCAUUAUGUGCUAAAGAAUAAUGAAUCCAAGAUUGAUUCUCUUAUCAACUAGGAUGGAAUCAAUCAGAAAAGCUCAUAAUAGGAUACCUCAUCUUGAUGUCCUCCUUUAAGAAUAAAUAUAUGACUAAUCAUGUGAUCUAGGACUCGACUAAUCAAUGUGAGAACAUGAACAUGAGGCUUGGUAGUUGUAGUGUCAAAUAGAAGAUUACAUAACUUUUUUUUCACAAAUCAGAGGGUUGGUCGAGUCCAUCAACUCCUCUUGUAUUUGAAUGUUGUGGUCGUUUGGGCGAAUGUACUAUAAGGCUAGGGUGUACACCUUUCCUGACAGCAAUUGCUUUUAGGAGAGCUAGUAGCAUCUGAAGUCCUAUAAGUGGUAUCAGAGUUAAGCCUCUUGUUUAAGACUUAACCGUUUAAGAGGAAACGACUAAUUUAUCAAGUUCAUCUCAUAUUGAAAGUUUUGCAACCAAUAGACCUCCAUUUUUUUUAUAGGAACUAAUUAUUCCUAUUGGAAAAAAAAUGAUUUGGUUUUUAAAAUCUACUAAUCUUGAUCUAUGGGAUAUCAUUGAAGAUGGUCCUCACAUUCCUUCAAAAUUAUAAAAUGGAGUGAUGGUUCCAAAACCUAAGCAAGAAUGAGGUGAACUUGAUAAAAAAAAAAUUCAAUUAAAUGCCAAAUAUGUUUAUAUCUUUCAUUGUGCUACUAAUAGAAAUGAAUUUAAUCAUGUUUGACAAUGUAAAUUGACUAAAGAAAUUUGGAGACUAUUGGAAAUCACUCAUGAGGGAACCAACCAAGUUAAAGAGUUUAGAAUCAACAUCAUUGUGCAUUAUUCUAUGAAGGAUUUUGAAUCUAUUAUAGAGAUGUUUUCUAGGUUCAUGGUGAUUGUGAAGGAACUUUAAGCCUUGGGAAAGACCUACACCGAAGUAGAGAAAAUCAUGAAGAACUUAAGGUCUUUACCAAAGAAAUGGAAAACAAAAGUAAUGGCUAUUCAAGAAGCGACAAGAAUGGGAAUAUAUAUAUAUAUAUAUAAUAGAGAACAUAGCUCUCAAAGCUACAACCAAGGAAGAAGAAGAAGUUGAAGAAGAAAAACAAAGUGAAGAAGGUGAAAAGUUAGCCCUCAUCACAAGAAAGUCUAACAAGUUCAUGAGGGGUGAAAGGUUUAGAGGAAGAAGGUUCACUUCCAGAAGAGACUCUUCUAAAAAGGAAUCUUCAUCCCAUGGUGACAAUGAGAGAUGGGAGGAGAAAAGAGACUUGGUAUUCUUCAUGUGCAAGAAACUGGGACACUUUAAAUAUGAUUGUCUUUUCUACAAAAGUGAAGCCAAAAGGAGAAAGAAGAAGGCAAUGAUGACCACUUGGAGUGAAAGUGAAGAUGAAUCAUUCGAAGAAAUGAGAAAAAAGUGGCAAACAUAUGUUUCAUGGCAAUAGAUGAACUUGAUGAGGUAAACUCUAACAUUAGCUAUGAGGGUAUACAUUAUGCUUUUGAAGAAAGUUCAACAACUUGAAAAAGAACUUGGAGAAGUAAACGGAAAAUUUUCAAAUGUUUAAGAUUCUAAAACUUGUCUUGAAAAAAAGAAUGAGAUUUUAAGAAAGAAAAAUGAAUGGUUGACCUCCUCUCUUUCAAUUUUUUCUUGUGGACAAGAAUAUUUUGAAAUGAUCCUAACUAACCAAAAAUGUAUUUUGACAAACAAGGGUUAUGAUUCAAAUCUUCAAAAAAUCAAAAGUGUUUUAAGAACUAUUUUGUAAAGGAAUCCACAAGUGUCAAUCCUUCCACCACUUGAAACUUUUGUGGAAAAGAAUGACACAUUAGUAGCACACGCCUUUUAAGAAAUGGUUCUCAAAAGAAUUUACAUGCAAAAGCUAAAAAGAAUUGGGUUGAAAAAUUCAAGGUCACUAACCCUCAAGGACCUAAGAAGACAUGGGUACCUAAAUCAACUUGAGUUAUGUGUUUUAGAGUUCAAAGAAGCAUAAGUGGUUCUUGGAUAGUGGAUGCUCAAGACACAUGACCGGAGAUGAAUCCAAGUUUGCUUUUCUUUCAAAGAAAAAAUGAGGAUAUGUUUGUUACCUUUGGAGACAAUGAAAAAGGAAAAAUCAUUGGUCAAGGCAACAUUGGUAAUGACACAACCUCAUUGAAAAUGUUUUACUAGUAGAUGUUUUAAAACAUAAUCUUUUAAUCAUUAGUCAACUUUGUGACAAAGGUUUUAAAGGGAUUUUUGAAGCAUCUCAUUGCAUUACAAAGGAUAUUCAAAAUGACAAUAAUCUUCAUGGGCCAUAGAUGUGAUAAUGUUUACACUAUAAAUAUUUCAAAAUAUGAUGGUCAUGAUGUUUUUCAAGCAUGCAUGAUCAAAGUUGGUUGUGACAUAGGAGAUUGGGACAUGCUAACAUGGACCUCAUUUCCCAACUCAAUAAAAAUAAAUUUGUUAGAGGUCGUCUCAAAAUUAUUUUCAAAAAGAUAAAAGCUUGUGAAGCUUGUCAACUGGGAAAACAAAUAAAAAACUCUUUUAAAAACAAAAACUUCAUUUCCAUAACUAGACAACUUGAGUUAUUGCAUAUGGAUUUAUUUGGUCCCUCUAAGACACCAAGUCUUGGAGAAAAGUCUUAUGGUUAUGUUAUUGUCAAGUGGGCACAUAGCUUGAUGGUCAUUAGUAGAGUGCUACAUCAUAUGUUAUGCUUCAUUUUCCUACCAUGGGGUGGGCACCGAGAUGAGGUUUCCUAUUACAAGGCAUUCCUUAUAGAUUCCAUUUUGACUAGGAGACAAAUCCAUUUAGGAUAUCUGAUGAUGAUGCACAUGAUUGCAUGUUGCGAGAACACAACUCGAGUAUUCCCCUAUGGUCGCUACCUUUCUUGAGUAUUCAAGGAUAAAGGCAUUAACCUUAGUAAAGAGACAGAAUUUGAGGUCCCUAAUACAUAUGAGACAUUGAUGAUCAGUUUAUGGGGGGGAUGACAUUUGAGAAGGCUCCAGAUGGUUCUUGGAUUAGAAAAGCAGAAAGAACACAACCACGGGGAUAGGGAUAGACACACUUUGGAGUUGAGGAAGAGACAGAGAUUAGAUAGAUGGAGGGUGGAGUAAACCCUCAGGGUGGCAUAGACCUUCAGAGUGGCCACCAGCAGAAAGGGCCUGAGCUUGAUAUUCCCCCACUUCAGACAGAGAUUCUUUCACAGACUGAGGGUUUUCAAUUUGAGUCCACUUUCUUUGAGCCGAUUAUGACAUAGCAUACUUUUAUAGAGGGGCCAUCUACUUAGUCAUCAUACAUCGAACCCUCCUUAUUUGGACUAGUAUUCAUCGAGCCCACCUAUAUUGAGAUACUACCUCCUCAGACACCUCCUGCUCCUAACCAUGUUCCUUAGAUAGAUUUAUCGGCUCAAAUUAACUCCCUUAGUACUCGUAUGGAGGAGCUUGUAGUGGUCAAUGAUACACAAUUUUACUUUAUGGAGGAUAUAAUGGACUAGUAUCAGAUUGGGUUCACUACUCAGUUUGAGUAUCUCUAGUAGAGGAUUGAUCACAUGGAGCAGAGGAUUGAUCACAUUGAGGAUCACAUGGAGCAUCAGCAUAAGGAGAUGAUGACCUACUUGCAUUUCGUGUUUCCACAUCCAUCUCCUCAACCUUGAUGACUAGUUGGGAACCCCCUUAUUCUUUUUUUAUGUUGCCAAAGAGUGAGAUAGUUUAGGAUCUAGGAAGAUCUAGGAAGGUAGAUAUAGAAGACUCAUAAUCAUACAUGCAUAUCAUUUUUUUGUUUGGAUCAUAUAUUGCUUAUCUCUAAUUACUUUAGCUUGUUGGACAUAUAAUGUUCUGACUGAUACAUUUGACAUGAAAUAUGAUAUGCUUAUAUAUUUGAUGACUUACAUUAGAUGUUCCUUGUUGCAAUACUUUCUAACAUGUCUUGAUCAUCGUGUUUUUAAUUUCUUAAAUAUUGAUUGUUGGUCCAUGAUUGGUUUGAGGGGAGAUUAUUUUUUUCCUAGAUAACCAAGGUUUUUCAUCACAAAAAAUAAGAGAUUGUUAGCCCAAGGAUUCUCAUAAUCAUGUUUUGAUGAUAACAAACCAUGAUUAAGUUGCUAAUUGGUUUAAAUUAUAAAGAAUUUUAGAUAUUAGUUUGAAAAUUCAUCAAAUGACCCAAUGGAUGUAAGAUCAAGGAAAUUGGAAGACCUUUAAUCAUAAAAAAAAACAUAUGUAGGAUGAAUGCAUUGUUGCACUUAGGAUUUUCAUAUUUUUUUCAUGCAUCUUUAAAAACUCAGUUUAUGCAUUAAAGUUACAUUUCCAUCAAAACUCGAGUUUUACCAAAUGAACCUUAGGCAAAUCAUUUCAAAAUUGACAUAAUAAUUAACCUAAAGACCUUGAUUAAGUGUUAGAAGAGAAAAUAAUAGAAAAAUAUAGGUUUUUGGGCCAAAAAUGGUGAACCAGUUGAGGUACUAGCCAAUCGACUCAAUUGGCUAGGGUACUGGUUGACCGGUUACACCUAUCCGGUCGAGGUCCGGUUGAGAAAUACAAAAAAUCUUUUCUCUAUUCCAGAAUGCUUGUUUAACCGGUCAAAGUUUAACCUCAAUUGGUCAAGGUUGAACCUCAACCGAUCGAGGGGCGGUCAAACGGCGAUCGAGGUCCAACGGUCACCUACCAAGCAUUAAAUGCUAACGACUAGUCAACCGGUUGAAUCGAAACUCGAUUGGACGAACCCCUAAUGACUAGUUUGGCAUUUUUCCUCUAUAAAAAGGCUCAAAUCUUCAUUAUUUCAAGAGCUUAACCUUCCUAAACAUUUCUUGAAUAUAUUUGAGCCUCAUGAGAGUGUUUUUGAGUGCACAAUUGUUCUAAAACUUGCAUAUCAUUAGUGCACCAUUCAAUCCUAAUUUUUCUUGUACAUUUGAGCCUAAAGUUUUGCAUUGGGAUUUUAUGAGAUUAUUUCUUCAUUUGUAAAUCUUUGAAAGGAAAAAUCUAAGUGUGAGGUAUCACUUAAGGGGCUAUUCAAGAGUGAGGUAUCUCUUGAAGAUUGUAAAGGGUGCUUGGAGCCUAAAGUCCAAGAGGGUGGAUUGGAACCAUAAUCCAAUUGUAUUGCUUGAAAGCUUGGUUUGGAAGCCUUGAAUUAGUGGAACCUCAAGCUUAGGAUUGAAGGUAGAGGAGAGUGGAUGUAAGCUGGGUUGCAUCGAACUACUAUAAAAUUUUGUGUUUGCAUUCUCUUUUCCCUACUCUUUUACUUUAUAUGCAAUUUGUCUUUAUAUUAUUUUAUUAUAUAUUUGAAUAUAAUUAUCUCUUGUAUUUACAUAAUUUAAAUUUGUAAAAAAAAAAACCAUCAACCUAUUCACCCCCCCUCUAAGGUGAUUAUUUUAGGUUAGAUUAGCCCAAUUUUUAUAACACCUUUGUAUAACUUUACCAACAUCAAAGUAAUCUUGGCUCAACCACCCUUUCGUCUUAAAGAGACAAUGUAGCUUUAUAUGAACUCCUUUGACUAGUGAAAUGAUUGGGCCACCCAUCUCAUAUCGCAUGUUUGAAUAUAACAUGUAUACCAAGGUCAGGCAAAAAAACUCUCAACAAGUCACCACAGAUAGCUAUCACAUCCUGGCGAAUAACUCCUCAAAUUGAAAAUAUGAUAGUUAGCCAAAAUAAAUAUUACAACUCGGAACCACCAUCUAGGCUGCAAACAAAUGAGUGUAUCAUUGGUAGUACUCCUCCAUGGAUGCUAAGCUCUAAGUGUUAAAUCAAGCUUUUCUCCUAGCCUCAACCUUAAAACUCUCUAUAUAUAGGACACUUGCCUUAGACCUUUGAUGUUGUAGUAACUUUCUGGGGAGCCAUGACACUUUAGUACAUUCACAAGAAUAAGGGGAAAAGUCCAAGAAAGUGAAAAAAAAAAAACAAAGGGAAAAGUGGAAAACGACCACAGUUCAAGAAAUGAAAGGUAAAAACAUAGAGUUCCAAGGAAAUAUCUCUCAAAAUGGCCUACAUAAGAGUUUUAGAGAAACCUUAAAGAGAGAAAUUAGUUUAGACCCUUAGGGUUCAGACCCUCUGCUGGUUGAGCAAUUGGUUCAACUGGUCCUUAAUCGAUUGAGGCUUUACCUUAACCAACUACACCACAACUAUUGUAUAUUAAGGGUGCACAAAGUGCGUCAUGAUGAGUCAAUGCCCAAUUGGCUCAACUAGUUCAUUGGGUCCUCAAUUGGUUGCAAUGUGAAGUGCUUAAGAGACUCAAUUUGAGGUAUGGAACCUUUAGAAACUUGUGUAAACCUUCUUAAAGAUAAGUUUAAAAUGAAUUUGGCUUAAGGUUUUAAUUUAAAACAAAAAUUUAUCCAAUGCUUUGGUAAAAAUGAUCAUUUUAAGUCUAAGGAAGGAUGAAAUUGAAUUUUUAAGUGCAUGAAAAUGAUUUAGACAUUUGAAAGUUGAGUUUAGGUUUGGGUAUUGAUCUUCUUCCAUUAUUCUUUGGGUUUUCUUUGAAUUUUUGUAAGUAAACCUGAAAACUUAAUUUGAUCUAAAUCAUUAGUAACUUUAGUCUUAUUUUGUAAUCGCCAAAAUUCAAUUAGAAUAACCUUUGAGCUAACACCUAUGGUGAUAGCAAAGACAAAGUUAUCUUGCUUAUGGAUAUAUAAAUGACCUUGAUAAAAGGGCAUUUGCAUGUUGUAAAAAGGUAGUAGCAACCAAGGGUCUUUGAAUGAGUCAAGGGACAAGUGACAAAUGACUAAAACUUUCAAAUAUGCUAAAGCCAUUUGAAACUAAAACUUAAGUUUCAAUUUAAAAGAGUUUGAAUUUGAAUUGAACGUUUGUUAUGAACAAACAGACAUUGUCACCAAGGUUUGUUGAAAUAGGCUUUCACUCACCCCUAAGGCAAGAUGGGUCUCCGUGCACUAGCAUUCCCACUUAGCUUGAGCGAGGUGUUAAUGAAGAUAAUCUUAGUAUUCACGAAAGAACAUGAUUGACAAAUCAUACCAACUCAAUAACCACAUUUAUCGACAAUUCAACCAAGAUUAUAAAAAACAAUUCAAUGUAGCAUGUGCUAAUUCUAUUCUCUUUACUGUUGUUAUCAUGAUAUGUAUUCAAUGUAUUUUCAUAAUUUUCCUUUUAGUACAAGAACUUGUUUGUUUAUACAAAUAAGAUUGUACAUUCUUGAUAAUAUAAUUUAGAGCUUCCAUAACCAAAUUCUGAAAAAACUUUUCAUUAUUUCGUGUUAUGAUGGAUUACUGCAAAACUAACUUAUAUUUUAAUAUUUUUUCUAGUUUUUUUUUUCCUUUUUUUUUAAUAAUUUGGUCCAUUAUGUUUUAUACUUUUAAAUUUUCAUGUUAAAAAUUGUUUUAUAACUUGUUUGAUUUAUUUUAACCAAAAAGUUAAAUUCUAAAACCCCUUUACAAAAAAUGUAUGUUUGAUUUUUUUUCCUAUUUAGAAUGUAAGAGCAUUUAAAUAUUAAAUCAUCUUUUUAAGAGCACUUAACAAAAGUAUGUUUUUUCAACUUGAAUAAAGCUUUGAUAUUCCAAUCAACUUCUAUCACAUUUUAAGAUUGGCCAUAAGGAACGUAGUGUUCUUCUAGGUAAGUUGAUUGUGUAAAAUGGUUGCAUACAUACGAGACUUUAAUUUCGUAUUGAAGAUUUUUUUUUUUUUUAAUGUGAUUUAGGUUUAUUUGGAAAUAUUUUUUAAAACAAUUUUGAAAAAAAAAUGAUUAUUGAAAAUAGUUUUCAAAAAAGGUAUAUGGUAUUUUUUUUUUUAGAAUAAAAGUACUGUAGACCUAUUUUUUUUUUUUUAGUUUUGGUUUUCUUGAUAUAUUUAUUUUUUUUAGUCUUUCCCGCCACUUUGGGGAGCACCCGGAAGAAGACAUUUGGAUUGGGGGACCGGCUUCUAAAAAACUCCAUGCAUGAGGCGCGUGGCUGUGGAGAGGACUACAGCCAUGGUGGUGGUUGGGACUACACGGAUGCUGAAUAGGGAACAGGAGAGCAGGUGCUAGCUUUCCGGAUCGGGAGAGGGAGAAAGGGCAGGAAGGAGGCUGGGGGGGAGAAAGUCUAGCGAUGGGGGGGUAUAUUUUUUUAGAGAGAAAAGCAGGAGAGAAGAGGCAUUUCAGGGAGGGGGGGAAGAGAAGAGACUUCCAGAUCAGAGCUACAUUCUUCCUGCUUCUCUUAGCGGCGGUCCAGUCGUGGGUCCCGGUGGCUGGAGUCGGACUUCCCAGAUGUCGAAAAUGUAUGUUACACUUGAUGUAUUUAUCUCAUUCAUUUUAUUAAUUUAUUGGUUUUGAUUGUAUGAUUAAUAUGUUUAUGUUUUCAGUUUUUAUGCUCUUAAUAUUUAAGCCUAUAUUUUAAUUUUUUUAGAUAUUUAAGGGGUGGGAAAAUUGGUUUUGUAAGGCCCUGUUCGGCCUAGAAGAACAGGCUGUUAUAAAAAUUCAGCCGUGGUCACUUGGGCAUUAGGAUGUGUGCGGGCUAUGGUGAGAGCUCAAGCUCAGCACGCAUGGGACAGGUCCAGAUUAUUGGAUCAUCACGUUCAAGUGGCAAGCCUUCCCAUUUCCACCACCUGUCCAUAAUGAUGGACACUCCAUCAUGAACUCUUUGACUUAACCCAGACAACAUGGAAAAUUGAUUCACCACAACCUUUUUUUUUUUACUUAUUAUUUAUUCAUUAUUUCUUUACAGCUUGAUAUCAAAAUAUUUUUUUCAACAUUCCAAUUUUCAAGAUUUAAUCCUCGAAGUUUCCAUUUUUAAACAAUUUUUUUUUUCAAAAUUCCAAUUUUCCGACUUCCCAAAUUUAGAGCCCGUUUGAUAGUGAUUCUAGUGGAAGUGUUUUUAUUUGAAGUGUUUUCUGUUAUAGUGUUUCUGUGAAAAACACUUUUAUGAUAAUCAGAAAAAAUGAUUCUAAAGUGUUUUUGAUAAUAUAUUGUAUAAAUAUAAAAACACUUUUAAUAUUAAUAAAUUACCAAAAAGGACAUACAAUUUUAAUUAAAAAAAAUGGUAUGAUAAACAAAAAAAACUUUUUAUUAAUGAAAAAACAUCUAAAUCACUAAAAAAAUAACAUUGAAUAAAAGAUAAUUUUAAAAUUAAAACAAUAUAUGAUUACCUAUUAAUUUCUAAAAAAAAAAAGAAUUUUCUAAUUAAAAAUAAUAAUUUUUUUAUCACUAUACUAAAAUUUUAAAAAAUAUUUACAAAAAACAUCUAAAUCAAUAAAAAAAAAAAGAUUGAAUAAAAGAUAAUUUUAAAAGUAAAACAAUAUAUGACCACAUAUUAAUUUCUAAAAAAAAAAAAAGAUUUUUCUAAUUGAUUUAUCACUGGGGGCAUUUUUGGAAUAUUUCAAAAAAAUUGAAGUGUUUUUUAAAAAAAAACACCUGUCAAGUGAUUCUCUAAAAAUCACUUCAAGUGUUUUUCCAGAUUUUCAAAAGUGUUUUUUUAAAUUUGCCAAACACUUUAUUUUCAUCCCAAAAACACUUAAAAGUGUUUUUAAAGGUAGAAACACUUUUAAAAAUCACUGUCAAACGGACUCUUAAUCUCCAAUUUCAAAAAUUCCACUAUUCACAUUUAUUUAUUUAAUUAAUUAUUAUUUUUAUUAUUAUUAUUAUUAUUAUUAUUCCAUUUAUUUAUUUAUUUAUUUUUAAAAUUUCAUUUUUAAACAAUUCUUUAAAAUUCCAAUUUUUAAAUUUAAUUCCAAUUUCUAAAAUUCCAAUUUUUAUAUCAAUUUAUUUAAUCAUUAUCACUUUAUUUAUUUGUUUAUUUGUUUAUUUUUAAAAAUUCAAUCUUCAAAUAACUCUUCAAAAUUCCGAUUUCUAAAUUUAAAUUUCAAUUUUCGAAAUUCUAAUUUUCACAUCAAUUUAUUUAAUCAUCAUUAUUUUAUUUCUUUGUUUUAAAAUUCCACCUUUAAACAAUUAUUCAAAAUUUUGAUUUUCAAAAUUUAUUUCCAAAAUUCCAAUUCAAAAAUUUAAUUCCCAAGACUCCAAUUAUCAGAUAAUCUUCAGGACUUCAAUUUUCAAAUAAAUUUCAAAAAACCAGUUUUCACUCGAACAGUUUUAAUUCCACUUUGGUUUUCAAAUAAUCUUCUUUUUCUCUUAAUUUUAUAUAAGCAUGAAUGUCAUUUUCAUAAUUGUGGAACAAUGGAAUUUGUGAGAUUAAUUCGUGCAAGAUCAAUCGGGCUUUGGUGGGGCCCCACAUACGUGAUUUUAUGAUUGAUUUAUUUAUUUGUUGAUUUGUUUGUCACGCGCGAUUGAUUUAUUCUGCUCUAUGACAUGCUAGAAAUUAUUCCUAAAUUGUGCACUAACCCCUCUAUUGAUAGCGCAUGGUGGAUCGUUGCCCAGGUAUGUACCCAUUUUCCCUCUAAUCAAUGUAUAUGCAUGUCCCGAUUCUCAUAUGUGCAUGAUCACUCCGAGUAUUCAUUGAUUCCAUCAUCAAUUGUCAUGAUUGCUUCAUUUUAUUAGUAGAGACCCGACUUUAGGGACUUAGAAGGGUGCUACGGUCUUUACCGUACCUUCCCGAUAAGUAACCUGACCCCCGAACCCGAUCUGCCCCGAACCCGAUCUGGUUUUUCGUAGACCACAUUUUCCAAAUAAGGAGUCACACUUAAGGUUUUUCUUUCUUAUUUUGUUUACCCUUUAAUAAAACAAAAAUAAGUGGCGACUCCAAGUCAUUUUUUUAACCAAUUAAAUCAUUUUUCAAAAUAAAAAUCGAGCUCGUCAUCGAGUGGGAAACGCAUCAGCACGAAAUGCGGGGUCCACAAGUACAUUCCAAAACUUAAAAUACUCUUAAUUUGUUUUUUUGUAUUUGGAAUUUUUUCUUAAAAAUAAUUUAAAUAGUUUUUAAAAAUAAUUAGAAUAUUCUUAUUUUCAAUCAUUCUCUAUAUUUUUCAAUUAUUUUUAAAAAUAAUCCAAAAUAAUUAAAUAUAUAUAUAUAUAUAUAUUUAAAAUACCUUAUUUUUGGAACUAGUUUUCAAAACACUAAUUUUUAUUAAAAAAAUUAUCAAACUUCUUUUUGAAUUUGAAAAAUAUUUUAUAUUUAAUAGAAUAAAAUAUUAAAAAUAGUUAUCAAAUUACUAACUUUUGUUUAUUUUUUUCAAUGUUUUUAGAUGUCAUUGAUAAUAUCGUAAAUAUAUAAUUUAUAUAUUUUUUAAAUUUUAAAAUAUAAAAGUUAGAAUUUUAAAUAUAUUUCAUCAUUUCAUCAUUAAUACUGAUAGAUUAAAUUAUGAUAAGGAUAACAUGCAUGAAGAUUUGUUAAAAUUUUAGUACUUCUAAUGUUAUUAAACAUAUUUAACUUAUAAUUAUUUUUUAAAAUAGUAUUUUAUUAUUUAAAGUUGUUUAAAUUUUAAUAGUUAUAUAUUUUAUUAUUUUCAAAACAAUUAGUUGUUUAUUUAUACUAUUUUGAUGUUUAUUAUCCUAUAAUAUUUGAUAAAUUACAAAUCUUUAUAUUUAUUUUUUAAGUUAUGAAAUUAUAUUACAUAUAUUUUAAAUACAUUUAUAUACAAAAAAGUUGAGACAUCACAGUGCGACACCCUUGUCUUUUUCCCAAUAAAGACCCAAUUAAAUCCUCAUUCCUCAUCCUUCCAUGCCUUUUAAGCAGGUUCGUCGAUUCACCCGAUUAGGUGAACCGAACCAGGUUAAGGUCCGGGAUUUAGGUUUGAUCCGAUUUUUAAAAUAUAGACUGAACAAAGAACCGUCCUUAUCCUCUUUUCCCUUUACAUACGGCAUAGACCUUUUAGGCGAAGACUUGAGUCCUUUGCCAGAUUUAAGUCGUGAAGGUCUACAGAUUCAGUCUCCUAAGAAAUUGGGCAUGAAUCGCAGCCACCAUUCUUGACUUUUUGCUUUGUUUCUCAUGAAUGCGCAUGUACUAUCUAAUCAGACUGGGGACAACACAUUUACUACCAAUUUGCCCGGGAGACUUGGAUUGUUGGGUCAACGUUGGAAUCCAAGUCUACUGCAAAAUAAUAUAAAUAUUAUAAAUAUAAAUCUGAACAAAAUAAGUACAUGGUGAUUUUUUUAUAUUUAAAAUAAAAUAUUAUAUUACAAUCAUUAAAUAAGUUUUAUUCAUUGGAUCGUUUUUAUAAGUAGAUAUAUUUUUAUAUUAAUAAGUAAUUCUUGUAUUACUUAUAAGCAUAUUAGACCGUGUUAUCGCACCAUUAUAAAAAAUAAAAAUAAAAAAUUAGACAAAAAAAAUGAAGGAAAAAAAAGGAUGAAAAAUGAAAAAAAAAAAAAAGGUGAUAUCACGUAGAAUAAAGGGUGUUUGUUAAAAUUUAAUAAGUUGACUUUAAGUUAAAUUAUAUUUAAAUUAUUAUUUAAUUCUUAUUUUAAGUAUUAAAAUUGUUUCAUAAAAUUAACUUAAAACUUAUUUUAAAUCAUCACAUUAAUAUAUUUACUCUCAUAAAUUAUAAUUAGAGUAAAGAAAAUUAAGUAACAGUGGAGAUCAUGAAAUGUUGAAGGAGAUCUUAAAGGUAAUUAAGAUAAAUGAGGGUAAAAAUAUCAAAUAAGAUGUGAAUUUAAGAAUAAGUUAAUUGUUUUUAUAUAUUAUUUGAAGUUGUGUUUUUUACUUAAAGUCAUACCAUUAAAUUAUUUUACCAAACACACUUAAUUUACUUAAUAAUUUAAAUUAAAUUAUUAAAUUACUUUAAUUAUUAAGUUGAUUUAUCAUACACCCUUUAAGUUACAAUAUGUUUAAAAUAUGACAUUAUAUAAAAUACAUUUUUAUUUUAUUUAUGAUAUCACAUGUAAAAACACUAUACAUAUAUCCUAAAAUAUAUUGUAAUAUUACCCCUUCAUACUAAUAUAUCUCAUAACAAAUGAGAUAUAUGUCAUAUAACUGUUGGUUAUAUUCUUUUUACAAAGUUUUUAAAUUUGACCAAAAACUCAAUAUCAAGCAAAUUUUUUUUAAAGAUUUUGGGUCUAUUUGGCAAUUGUUUUAUAUAACAGAAAUAUGUUCAUAAGAAUAGAAAAACAAAAAAACACAUUUGGUAAUAAAAAAUUAUUUUCUAUUUCGGAGAACAAAAACAAAAUGUUUUUAGAGAACAUCUUUUAAUUGUUUUCUAAGUGUUGUUUUUUUAAAAAAAAUUAUACAAGCAUAUAGAAUAAUUAAAAAUAAAAUAUUUGAUAUAAAAAUUAUUUUUAAAAAUAUUUAAAAAAAAGUUAAAAACAUUUUAAGUCUCAAAUAGACUUUUAUUUUACAAAACAUCUUAAAACAACUUUUAAAAAUAAUAUUUUAAAAUUAUUUGAAAAAACAAUUACCAGAACUUUAAUUUUUAAAAUAAUUUUUCUUUAACUAAAAUCUUUUUUAGGAGAGAAACUGAGGAAGAAAGGUAUGUGAUUGUAAUAAAGAGAUGAUUGAUCAUUUUGGUCAAUUAAAACACGGAAUUAUUUUGAAUAUUUGGAAAAUUGUGAUUUCUUCUAAGUUAAAAUCCCUACAUUCCUUCUCAGCAAAAACAACUGAAUGAUCAAAAACCAAUGUUAAAUCAACAUAAAUAUGAACACUUCUGUGGUAUAAAUAAAAUUUAUCUAAAAUAGUAUGAACAAAACAAAAGUUGGCAUGAGAUAUUUUUCUUCAAAAAAGAAAGAAAGAAAAAAGAAAAGUGCAUAAAAAUAAAUAUAUUACUUGUGAUGUCCACGAAUAGGGGAGAAAGUUUUUAACCAUGUAAACGUAUUACUCUCCUCAGUAAAUAGCAACUAUACAACUAUGACUGCUGUUAGAGUUCUCCGUAAAAGGACGUUGUCCAACGUAGUUGCCUGGAGGAUCAUAGUUGCAAGUGACAAACCACCCGCCACUGUUGCACUGAGCCCUAGCGCACCCAAGACGCAAUGAGUUGCGCCAAAUAACUUGAGUAUAGUGCCUGCAUUCCCCACCAACGCAGGAGUUGGAGUUGUAGUCAUAAUUAGUCUUCUCCCCCACCCACAAGUUCACUGCAUCGAUGCCUGUCAAUGAAGGGGAGCCCCAGGCAAGGUUCUCACCGUAAGGCCCACCUGAAUGCACUAGAUUGCAAUCGCCAAUCCUCUGGUUAGUAUAAUUUUGGGCGUAGGCAGCCACAGUGUUGUCCCAUGACAUAGGCCCAACACCAACUUCUGCACGCGCGACAUUGUGAGCAUCGAGGAAGUCUUGUGGAGAGUUUUGGGCAUAGGAGAUGUGAGCAAGGACUAACCCCAUGAAACCAACAACUAGUGAAGAU